This 76-nucleotide ribosomal RNA is filed under the name Arcticibacter tournemirensis. RNAcentral's name for it is "Pedobacter tournemirensis partial 16S ribosomal RNA". It matches the Rfam family "Bacterial small subunit ribosomal RNA", at positions 1 to 74 of the family's 1533-position model. Lineage: Bacteria; Pseudomonadati; Bacteroidota; Sphingobacteriia; Sphingobacteriales; Sphingobacteriaceae. The record is from RNAcentral.
UUACAAUGGAGAGUUUGAUCCUGGCUCAGGAUGAACGCUAGCGGCAGGCCUAAUACAUGCAAGUCGAACGAGAUUG